RNAcentral lists this long non-coding RNA (2826 nucleotides) under Gossypium barbadense (sea-island cotton). RNAcentral's name for it is "long non-coding RNA (GBAR_LNC004646)". Lineage: Eukaryota; Viridiplantae; Streptophyta; Magnoliopsida; Malvales; Malvaceae. The record is from RNAcentral.
GGGCAUCUUCUUGGAUUUAGCUUUUUCCAUGGAUUCCCAAUGACACCCAAAUUUUACAAGGUAUGUUUUAACGUCUUCCUGCAUUCUGGGUCUUUUUGCUUUUCUUGUUUCAAUCUUCCUUUCUCUCCUUGUUUUAUUUUGCUAACAUAGGCAAAACCUUAUCAAGCUUGUAUAUUUCUGAUAUUUUAUUAUUGUUUUGAACAGGACCACAACCCACUGUUAAGGAAAAGAUUAAUGCGGCCUGAUGGUACUUGAAUGUUUCUAACUUGCUAAAUGCUUGUUUAAUUAACUAUGUCAAUGGUGCUUCUAGUUUUGAGAUGCUUUCUUUUGUUUUUGCCCCCUUGAUCUACUCAUCGUCUAGGUAGUCAUGUUUUGGUUGUGUAAUAUUAAUUAAUUGUUUUAUAUAAAUUUUGAUGUCAGUUGUUAAAUCUCCAUUAAUGAAAGUCUUAGCACAGUUGGUAAGAGAGGAGGUUUGAGUUUUAAGUAUCUAGAUUCAAAAUUCAGUAUAUAGGGUAUCUGAAUCCCACUAUGAGUUGCAAGUUUUAGUUCAAUUACUCAGUUGUAAUUUAGAUUAUUCCAGUUUUUAGUUUGUUUGUGCUGCACUGUAAAAAUUUGAUUCUAAACUUUGUGAUUAUUAAGACAUAUUUGUAUUGGUAUCGUUGUGAUUUUAAAAAAAUUGGUUAAAUCUAAUACGGUAUACUUGUGUGUCAGUGAGGCUUAGAUUUAAACAUGAUUCUUCAAAUGUUGGUUUCAUGGUAUUGUUUCUUGAUGUGCCCAUUCUUUAUGCUAUGGCAUUUAAAGAGAUACUAUUCUUCUUCCCUCAAUAAUUUGCUGUUUAUUCACUAACUGCAUGCAAACCUAGUUUAAGAAGCAGCUAUUUGGAUGAAGUGACACCAUGUGUUUUAUGAUAUAAAUAGCAUCAUGCAUCAUGGGAUACAACUUGUAAGACAUUAGUAUCAUCUGAAUUUCACAUAUUAACAUAAGCAUAACUGGGCAGAUAUGGAAAAAAGUUCUGAUUCAACUUUCUAUUAGUAUAAGAUCUAAAGGGAUACUUGAAGAAGCUACAAAGCAACUCUAACAUCAAAUUAAUUUUACUGGAAAUCAUAUGUAUAUAUAUUUUACUUUUUGUAUACUCGUGUAAAAAUAGAUUUAAUUAUUUUAUUUAUUUCAAUAAAAUUAAGUAAAUGUGUUUAUUGGGAAUAGAAUUUCAUUUUUCUUUUUUACUAUGUAAUGAUUAGGAAUGUGGGAUAUAUAUAUGAAUAGAUUCAAAGUUUGUACACAGUUUAAUAACAAAAAGUUACUUUUAACAUUAACAUAACAUACUUUAAAAAAUUACCCAAGUUACCUCAAAAUCAACCCUGAAUUGAAAUAAAAAUACCAAAUUCAAAAUAUUUAAACAUAUAAAUAUAUAUGAUUAUCAAUGUUUGAUGAAAAUAUAUUAUCAGAUCUGUUUGUUUUUAGCCUAUUGUCUGUAAUGUCUGUCAAUGAGUUUCUUCUUAUAAACUUCUUUUGAUUCUUAGGCUCAGAUGUGAACGACUAAAACAUUUGCUUCCCCCAUUUUCUUUUCCUAUUAUAUAUAUAUUUUUUUAACACUUAACUUAGGUUGGAAACUUCUCUUAUCACAUUACUUGUUAAGGCUAGAGGCCAAAGUUUACUUCUUGCUAAUAUCAACAAUCUUUUACAACAAGAUUUUGAUGUGCUGCAACAAUCUGUUGACCAAUAUUUUCAUGAUUAGCUUUUGCAAACACUGCAGCUUGUAAACUUUUACUUAUGUCUAAAUAUGGAUGUCAUUUCUAUCCCUUUUUCUAUAUCUAUGAAAACUGACACGAAGUUUAUUUUGACGGAUUAUAAAUAUAUGUAAUGUAAAAACAUUUGCAACAACUGCUGCAUAUUUUUGGGCUGAGAAGUUUAUUUUGACUGAAUUAUAUCGCAAAACUGACAUGAAGUUUUACUAAGGAUUACUCACAUUAUGCCUUAUAUCAAUUUUCAAUUUAGAUGGUUGUAGUUUGAAGAUGAUCUAUUUUGGUACAAAUCAGUUGGAUUUUGUUGACAUUUAAUUUUUAAACUUUUUCAGGGUCAUUCUUCUGUAUCUGUUUCUGAGACGUAAGUAAGUUUUAUUAUUAAUUAAUUUUACAUUUAUGUUCUGUGUAUUGAAUCUAAUUUGAUAAAUCAAUGCAUCCAGGGAGCAAUUGAAAAAAUGAUCAGCCAUUCAGAUUGAUAAUUUUUGUAUCAGUUUGUUAGCAUCCUUAUCAAGUAUCAAAUGCCUAUCUGUUACUUCUUGUACACUGCAGGUUGGUUAUAUAAUUCCUUCUUGUUUGGGUUAUUCUGUCAAGAUUUACUUAGUAUUUGAAUUAAUUUUGUACAAAAAUAUUUUUUUGACUGCUUUUAACCAACACCUAAUUUUUUCUUCCCUAUUUUUGUACUAUGACGAUUGUUAAUAAAUUUAAUUAUUACUAUAAUAAUUAUAUGAAGUAAUAUAUAUGAAGUAAAAUUAUAUUGUAUACUAAAUAUGGUACAUAUACUUUAAUUCCUUGUGUUUUGACUUUUAGGAUAUAGUUCCAUGUGUCUAUAUUAGUGAAUUAAUGUUGUAUAUGUUUCAGUUACUGCUUCCUGCUCCUCCUGCAACUAUUGGUUCAACUGAAGCUGCCAUUUAAUCUUCGAAUUAAUAUUUGGUACUGAUAUAGAUAAAGUUUUCAUAUUUGCUUAAACUGAAAUAUAUUUGGUGCUACUCUUAUAAUCUUACAUGUGUCUGUAUUAGUGAAUUAAUGUUGUAUGUAUUUCAGUUACUGCUUCCUGCUCCUCCUGCAACUAUUGGUUCAACUGAAG